AGAGUUUGAUCAUGGCUCAGAAUCAACGCUGGCGGCGUGCCUCAGACAUGCAAGUCGAACGCGAAAGUCCCCUUCGGGGGAUGAGUAGAGUGGCGCACGGGUGAGUAACACGUAGGUAAUUUGCCUUCGGGUGGGGAAUAACAGCCGGAAACGGCUGCUAAUACCGCAUAAUGCAGCGGCUCGACAUCGAGACAGUUGUUAAAGCGGGGGAUUCGCAAGAACCUCGCGCCUGAAGAGAAGCCUGCGGCAGAUUAGCUAGUUGGUAGGGUAAUGGCCUACCAAGGCGACGAUCUGUAACCGGCCUGAGAGGGCGGUCGGUCACACUGACACUGACAUACGGGUCAGACUCCUACGGGAGGCAGCAGUCGGGAAUUUUGGGCAAUGGGCGAAAGCCUGACCCAGCAACGCCGCGUGAAGGAUGAAAUCCCUCGGGAUGUAAACUUCGCAAGAAUGGGAAGAAUAAGUGGGGGACAAUACCCCCCAUGAUGACGGUACCAUUUGUAAGCUCCGGCUAACUCCGUGCCAGCAGCCGCGGUAAUACGGGGGGAGCAAGCGUUGUUCGGAUUUACUGGGCGUAAAGGGCGCGUAGGCGGUCGUGACAAGUCACUUGUGAAAUCUCCGGGCUUAACUCGGAACGGUCAAGUGAUACUGUCGGACUAGAGUACAGAAGGGGCAACUGGAAUUCUCGGUGUAGCGGUGAAAUGCGUAGAUAUCGAGAGGAACACCUGCGGCGAAGGCGGGUUGCUGGGCUGAUACUGACGCUGAGGCGCGAAAGCCAGGGGAGCGAACGGGAUUAGAUACCCCCGUAGUCC
RNAcentral lists this ribosomal RNA (812 nucleotides) under uncultured Acidobacteriota bacterium. Its description in RNAcentral is "bacterial SSU rRNA". It matches the Rfam family "Bacterial small subunit ribosomal RNA", at positions 8 to 796 of the family's 1533-position model. Lineage: Bacteria; Pseudomonadati; Acidobacteriota. The record is from RNAcentral.